GGAUAGGUGUCCGAGCGGCCUAAGGAGACGGUCUUGAAAACCGUUGUGGGGCAACCCACCGCGAGUUCGAAUCUCGCCCCGUCCG
Molecule: transfer RNA, 85 nt
Filed under: Bifidobacterium mongoliense
Lineage: Bacteria; Bacillati; Actinomycetota; Actinomycetes; Bifidobacteriales; Bifidobacteriaceae
Description: tRNA-Ser
Rfam family: tRNA
About the family: Transfer RNA (tRNA) molecules are approximately 80 nucleotides in length. Their secondary structure includes four short double-helical elements and three loops (D, anti-codon, and T loops).
Source: RNAcentral